GUUCUUGUAGCGCAAUGGAUAGUGCGUUGGACUUCUAAUCCAAAGGUUGUGGGCUUGAAUCCCACCUGGGAUG
Molecule: transfer RNA, 73 nt
Filed under: Trichonephila inaurata madagascariensis
Lineage: Eukaryota; Metazoa; Arthropoda; Arachnida; Araneae; Nephilidae
Rfam family: tRNA
About the family: Transfer RNA (tRNA) molecules are approximately 80 nucleotides in length. Their secondary structure includes four short double-helical elements and three loops (D, anti-codon, and T loops).
Source: Rfam by way of RNAcentral